GUGAGGAAUAUUGCGCAAUGGGCGAAAGCCUGACGCAGCGACGCCGCGUGGAGGAUGAAGGUCUUCGGAUUGUAAACUUCUGUUAAGUGGGAAGAAAGGGCUGUUUUUAAUAGAAGCAGUUAAUGACGGUACCAUUAAAGAAAGCACCGGCUAAACUCGUGCCAGCAGCCGCGGUAAUACGAGUGGUGCAAGCGUUAUUCGGAAUAAUUGGGCGUACAGGGUGUGUAGGCGGUAUGUUAAGUCUGUUGUUAAAGACUCAGGCCUAACCGGAGACAGGCAGCGGAAACUGGCGUACUAGAGGGUGGAAGAGAGAAGUGGAAUUCUCGGUGUAGCGGUAAAAUGCGUAGAUAUCGAGAGGAACACCGAUGGCGAAGGCAGCUUCUUGGUCCAUACCUGACGCUGAAACACGAAAGCGUGGGGAGCAAACAGGAUUAGAUACCCGAGUAGUCC
RNAcentral lists this ribosomal RNA (450 nucleotides) under uncultured bacterium. RNAcentral's name for it is "partial 16S ribosomal RNA". It matches the Rfam family "Bacterial small subunit ribosomal RNA", at positions 354 to 796 of the family's 1533-position model. The record is from RNAcentral.